GCACCCAAGAAGAAAGGGAAGAAAGGGAAAACCAAAGGUGCCCCGAUUGUUGACGGGCUUGCUCCAGAGGACAUGAGCAAGGAGCAGGUGGAGGAGCACGUUGGCCGCAUCCGUGAGGAGCUGGACCGUGAGCGAGAGGAGCGCAACUACUUCCAGCUGGAGCGGGACAAGAUCCACACCUUCUGGGAGAUCACGCGGAGGCAGCUGGAGGAGAAGAAGGCCGAGCUGAGGAACAAAGACCGGGAGAUGGAGGAGGCUGAGGAGAGGCACCAGGUCGAGAUCAAGGUAUACAAGCAGAAGGUGAAACACCUGCUGUAUGAGCAUCAGAAUAACCUGACGGAGAUGAAGGCUGAGGGCACUGUGGUCAUGAAGCUGGCGCAGAAGGAGCACCGCACACAGGAGGGAGCACUGCGCAAGGACAUGCGGGCGCUGAAGGUGGAGCUCAAGGAGCAGGAGCUGGCCAACGAGGUGGUGGUGAAGAACCUGCGGCUGAAGCACACCGAGGAGAUCACCAAGAUGCGGAAUGACUUCGAGAGGCAGGUGCGAGAAAUUGAGGCCAAGUACGACAAAAAGAUGAAGAUGCUUAGGGACGAGCUUGACCUGCGGAGAAAGACCGAGAUCCAUGAGGUGGAGGAGAGGAAGAACGGCCAGAUCAACACGCUGAUGCGGCGGCAUGAGGAAGCCUUUACGGACAUCAAGAACUACUACAACGACAUCACCCUCAACAACCUGGCGCUCAUCAACUCCCUCAAGGAGCAGAUGGAAGACAUGCGCAAGAAGGAGGACCACUUGGAGAAGGAGAUGAUGGAGGUGUCCGUGCAGAACCGGCGCCUGGCAGACCCCCUCCAGAAGGCUCGCGACGACAUGAAUGAGAUGCAGAAGAAGCUGGGCAGCUACGAGAGGGACAAGCAGAUCCUGCUGCGCACAAAAGCACGUUUGAAGGUCGCGGAGAAGGAGCUGAAGGACUUACAGUGGGAACACGAGGUGCUCGAGCAGCGGUUUGUCAAGGUGCAGCAGGAGCGGGACGAGCUGUACAGGAAGUUCACAGCGGCCAUCCUGGAGGUGCAGCAGAAGGUGGGCUUCAAGAACCUGGUUCUGGAGCGGAAGAUGCAGGCGCUGAGUGCUGCUGUGGAGAAGAAGGAGGCCCAGUUCAAUGAGGUGCUGGCAGCCUCCAACCUGGACCCCGCGGCGCUGACCCUCGUGUCCCGCAAACUGGAGGACGUCCUAGAAUCAAAGAACAGCACCAUCAAGGACUUGCAGUAUGAGCUGGCCCGGGUCUGCAAGGUACCAGGAGCCCCUGCCCCCUCUCAGGGCCCCACCUUGUCUACACCUUGGAGGUACACGUAGCCUGAGGCUGUCUGGGCCUUCUCAGGUCACUCAGUGUGUGGCCUGGGCUGCAUCCCCACAACUCUAGCCACUGUCCUGGUGUCCCUUCCGGGGCCUGCUCAGUGGAUAUUUGGCCCACAACGACCUGCUGCGCACCUACGAGGCGAAGCUCCUGGCCUUUGGGAUCCCUCUGGACAACUUGGGCUUCAAGCCUCUGGAGACAGCUG
RNA transcript from Lontra canadensis (Northern American river otter), 1553 nucleotides. It is a transcript of the gene named growth arrest specific 8, with no coding region annotated. The record is from RefSeq and is a predicted model, not a curated record. NCBI's taxonomy places the organism in Eukaryota, Metazoa, Chordata, Mammalia, Carnivora, Mustelidae. The transcript has 10 exons.